This 1712-nucleotide long non-coding RNA is filed under the name Struthio camelus australis. Its description in RNAcentral is "lncRNA (ENSSCUG00000011642.1)". Lineage: Eukaryota; Metazoa; Chordata; Aves; Struthioniformes; Struthionidae. The record is from RNAcentral.
AGUGGAGAUGACUGGAGGAAAACAGCCAGGGAGAGAAGACACCCAAUCCAUCACAGCUCUGUAACCAGUCUAGAUUUAAUAUUCCACAAAUAUUAGUGGCUUCAGCUUCCUGUGACCUGGAAAGAGAAAGGACGGUGAAAGUCACUCACAAAAUGCAUCAGCCACCCUGCUUCGUCCAGGCACGGGGAGAGUCAGCCCGCAGGUGCCUGCAGUGUGCCUGCUGCGGGCGCUAGCUGCGCGGCGACACCGGUGCCACUGCCCAAAUUGGUGCCUUCCUGAAACCACCUUCUUACAUGCCCGUGCAAAAUAAAUUUGCGUGACUAGAAAAAUGGGAAAUCUUCCCCUGAAAUGAACCUUCUCUAGAGAGGGGAGAAAUUACAUUCAGUGCAUGGAAAUCGCCACAGAAUUGCUAUUAAUUGAGAUGGGCUGUGGACGCAGUAUGGGAAGAGAAGAGCACACGUCCUCAUGCUGAGAACGGGGAUGGGAAGUGUUUUGCCAGUCCCAAAAGCUGGGAAGAGCUCUGAACUCUCAGUUCACGGUAUUCCUGGGAAACAACAGAGCUCUCUCCACUGGGGAGAUACCGCAGUGCAGUAACAACUGGUGUGUGACCACCACUGCAUUCGGUACUCCAGGUAACUGCAGGAACAAGACGGUGUCUCCCAGGGAGGCUGGCUAAAUGCUGUCCAUGUGCAGGGCAGUGUGAGAGGGGGCAGCUGGGCUCCCAGCGAGAUCAAUGUCCUGCUGGGGAGGGAAAAGCAGGGGCUGAGUCGGUGCCUCUACAUUUCCACGCUGAGUCCUCAGUUCUGUUUGUCCUCCUGUCCUCUCUUCAGGAUCUGGCAGCAGCAACAGUGCACCGGGUUCCCUGGUGAACAAGAGAGACAGGAGUCACCACUCGCACCUUCCUUGGCCGCUUCCCGCUGUGAUGCGGAGGAGUGGGAGAGGGUGCACGCCUGGAGAAGAUGUGCAAGGUGCCAGUGCGAAGAGCCAGAUCCCAGACCUGCCUGUGCUCUCUUGCCCAGCUGGCCUCUGGGCUUGCUUUGGGACUGGGAAGCGGCCUGGGAAUCACGUAUGAGCCUGCCUGAAGCUGCCACACAAAAGGCAAGAGAAGCUGGGGAAGUGACGGGAACUGCUGCUAGCAGGAAGAGGGCUUGUUUGUUAAGAGAACAUGUCUGCGUCAGGCAUGCAGGCCAAACUGCCAAUACAGCUGCUGACCGUCUAGUCUGGCUGCCACUACCAUGAAUCCUUGAGCUAAGAAAUUCCUCCGUGUUUAAAUGGGCUUUCCCAAGUACUUUACAUCUUACCUUCCUUACUUCCACCCCGCCCCACUGGUAUUUGCUGUCUGCCCACGCUUCUGUUAAUCCUAGCCCCUAUCUAUUAUGCUAAAUCAUUUUUCACUUGAAAAGUCUUGCAUUACUUGAGAUAGGGACCUACUAUUGGAGGCUUAACAAAAGGUUUCAACAGCUGUUAGCAAAGUUUCUAAUUGCCAUUUCCGAGUGUCAGAUCUGCCUUGUACAUCCAUUGGUGUAAUUACAGAGUGUUAAAUGUCACGUUUGUUCAGAGAGCUGAGAAAUGUGGCUGAUGUUUCAGUUGCUCCUGGGAAUGUUAAUUACCUUGCUGGUGUCCUACACAUCCCACAGGAAACUGUGUCACCUCCACUGGCUUGGCUGGUUUUACCAGGACAGAUAAUGACUUUCCUGGGACAUGACUCACUC